UCCGUAGGUGAACCUGCAGAUGAUCAUUC
RNAcentral lists this ribosomal RNA (29 nucleotides) under Ustilago shanxiensis. RNAcentral's name for it is "partial 18S ribosomal RNA". The record is from RNAcentral. Lineage: Eukaryota; Fungi; Basidiomycota; Ustilaginomycetes; Ustilaginales; Ustilaginaceae.